Long non-coding RNA from Ipomoea nil (Japanese morning glory), 1689 nucleotides. RefSeq lists it as uncharacterized. The record is from RefSeq and is a predicted model, not a curated record. Lineage: Eukaryota; Viridiplantae; Streptophyta; Magnoliopsida; Solanales; Convolvulaceae. The transcript is spliced from 2 exons.
UUAGGGCUAGGGUUUCAAAUAGCCUCGCAUCCGCCACUCCCCAUCUAUAAAGUUCCCCAUUAGGGGAGUCGUCUUGCCACACAUCCUGUAAGUUUCGCUUCUCAUCUAAUCGACUGUUACCGUGCUUUGCUUCACUAUCUGAUUCCAUUUUCAAGUUCUGUUCAAUUCUCUAUCAUGUUUUGGUGCGAUGAUUAUAAAACAAUUCCUCGUUCUGAAUGCUGUUGCCACGGCAUGACAGACUCUUUACACCCAUAGAAUAUGAGCACCAUAUCAUUCAUAAAUUUUUAGUUGGUGAAGUUUCCAUGUUCUUAUUGAACCUUUAGUCAUAUAAGCUAUGUUUGUGAAUUUGAUCUGACUUCCAUGCUGCUUUGUUUCUGGUGUUAUUUGUUUGAAUUUGAUUUGAUAGGAGACUGGUCUCUUUUUUCUCACAUGGCAUUUCUUGUUGACUUGUGCCUGACCUCUCCUGAAAUUCAACUAAGGUGGUGUUUAAAGCCCUAAUUUGUCUUCAACAAUGAUUUCAAAAAUUAGGGUUACGCACGCCUCCAAACUCAAGACACUACAAAAGUUAACUGAGGUUGUGAACUGUUUGAUGUCUUCUUUUCAAUGCUGCUUCAUAGUGAUUGCUGAUUAACCGGUAGUGUGGCAUUUCUAGAGUUUACAAGACACAAAAAUGGGUUUGAGAACAAAAAGUUUUAAUUUUCACUGAUAAUUAUAUCAUUAACAUAGAAUGGGAAUUUUUUAAAUUCUUCUAGAAAUGGAUAUCGGAUGUACUGUAUGAUUUCAGCUAGUGAAGUUUUUUUCAUGUUAUUUUCAAUCUAACUAUCUGAGAGGUAAAGUUCUUUUGAGAACACGACCUAUAUAGCUAUAUAUGCUUCAUAUGGUGUAGCAAUUAGCCAAAUAAGAUUCUGUAUUUUAGUUGUCUGUGACUGGUUAAUUGAUGUCCCAAUGUGCUGAUUUAUCAUCUUAAAAGAAGUUAAAUUAAAUUUCAGUCAUUGUACUAUUGGCGUGUUUUUUGUGGGUUACAUAUCCCUAGCCAGCCCAAGAAAUGUGCAAAUUCAUCAGCCUAUUUGCCUAACUCAAUGGACCAAUUGCUGGUUUAUAAAUUUGAAAUCAUGUAAAGUCUUUCAUAAAUCAUGUAAUAUUUGGAAGGUUUCAAGUGAGAUGAGCUCAAAUGUUGGAAUUUCCCAGUUGGACCAAUUUGCUUUUGCUUGUGACCUGUUGAUUAUACAACAGGUAGGCUUGUUGAUGGAAAUCAGCCCCCUGCAUCCAAUCUAAGUGGUUUGUUCUAAGAAGCUCUGACAGUCCUAGAAUUUCAAAGCAGCAUUGUUUGUCCAUCUACAUAUGUUGCAUAUUUUCUGAUUUAUUUGCUUGUUGUAGUCUGUUAUGUAUACAACUAUUCUACUGUCAAAACAGGCAACAUUAAAUGGCUAUGUUUAUUUGUAUAUUCUUACAAUGUUAGAGCUAGAAUGUGCUUUGUUUCAUAACGCUCUAAAGUAUAAAGGUGUGUAGCCUCUGCAGUGUCAAAGCAUUCUUGCUGCAUAAUUAGCAUUCAACACAAUGCAUGUAAACCUGUAUUAGUCUUUUUGAAUUCUAGUGGCUGUUAACGCAGUACUGUCGGGUGUUAUUCGUUAAUGGGCUGUUUGUUAGACAUGAAUUGUAUUGUAAUUCCACCAUAAUUCUUUGACCACC